AUGGAGCUGCCAAUCAAAGAGAAACACCUCAAGCUGAUAGAAGAAGAGUUCAGAAGAGAAAUGCAAGCUGAUUCUCCAGAAGUUAAAAUCACCACACGUACCAACAUGGUGAUCUUGGAAGGCAGUGAUGAGAAAGUAAAGUCAGGAGCUGUAAAACUUGACGAGCUGGUCAAAAAGAUAAAAGUGAAGAGAGUUCAGCUCUCUCCGUGUUUGACUGCCUUCAUGAAAACCAGCGACGCCCUCUCCAAGUAUGAAGCUCGAUUUCAGCAGACUUUUAGAAGUCCUGUAUCCCUGGAGGUGGAUUUUGACCUGUGUCUGUCCAGUUUGUCUCCUGUUUCUCUGGAGGAGGCAGAGGCAGCACUGCUGAGAGACAUUAUUGUGAUCAGUGUUCAGCUGCAGGGGGAAGCCACGGUCCCUCCAGAGCUGAGAGGAAUCCUCAACAUGGCCAGAGAUGAGAUCAACUCUCUGGGUCUCCAAGUGGAGGUCAGCUUCAUCCCAGGUAUCAAUGAAACUACUGUGCAGCUAGUUGGCUACUCACAAGAGGUUACCAAACUUAAAGAGUUUCUUGAUGAUUAUCAGUUGAAUCAAGCUACAACUAAAGAGAUCCUCAAACUGCCAGAUCCAGAACUUGUGGAGUGCUUUGAUGAAAUGUUGAACAGGCUUGGAGUGAAUAUAACCAGAGUCACACUGCGGACCUCACACGUCCCAUAUCCAUGUGUGAUUCUCUCUGGUCUCAGGGGUCAAGUUGAGGACAUAUAUAAGACUCUCCAGCCUGUUUUAGCCAACCUAACAGUAGACUCUUUGGUCUUAAAUGGGCCAGGGGCUCUGCGAUACUUCCAGGGAGUUGGAAAAGUCAGCAAAGAUUUGGUUGAGACUUCCCAUAAGGUCAUUAUCAGGGAGCAGCAAGGGGUCCCAAAUGUAAACACCCAACAGCAAGGCAGCAGCAGCAUCACACACGUGACAUCACUCAGACCAUCCCUUAACAGACAGAGCAGGAGCUUUGUUGGAAGUCCAGCAGUCAGCCAAAUAAAUCUGAGGAUCAGGCUUUGCCGUCUAGAGGAUGAAGAGGUUUGGGAUUUUUUCUUUUAUUUUGCUGUACAUUGUUUCCAAAAUGCAACACUUUUGUUCAUACAUAUUCUCUUUUCUUUUACAGGUGGAUGUUUUUGUGGCUCCCAUUGUUAA
Molecule: long non-coding RNA, 1182 nt
Filed under: Oryzias javanicus (javanese ricefish)
Lineage: Eukaryota; Metazoa; Chordata; Actinopteri; Beloniformes; Adrianichthyidae
Description: lncRNA (ENSOJAG00000002002.1)
Source: RNAcentral